Molecule: ribosomal RNA, 497 nt
Filed under: uncultured bacterium
Lineage: Bacteria
Description: partial 16S ribosomal RNA
Rfam family: Bacterial small subunit ribosomal RNA
Source: RNAcentral
GAUGAACGCUGGCGGCGUGCCUAAUACAUGCAAGUCGAGCGAACAGACGAGGAGCUUGCUCCUCUGACGUUAGCGGCGGACGGGUGAGUAACACGUGGAUAACCUACCUAUAAGACUGGGAUAACUUCGGGAAACGGGAGCUAAUACGGGAUAAUAUAUUGAACCGCAGGGUUCAAUAGUGAAAGAGGGUUUUGCUGUACCUUAUAGAUGGAUCCGCGCCGCAUUAGCUAGUUGGUAAGGUAACGGCUUACCAAGGCAACGAUGCGUAGCCGACCUGAGAGGGUGAUCGGCCACACUGGAACUGAGACACGGUCCAGACUCCUACGGGAGGCAGCAGUAGGGAAUCUUCCGCAAAGGGCGAAAGCUUGACGGAGCAACGCCGCGUGAGUGAUGAAGGUCUUCGGAUCGUAAAACUCUGUUAUUAGGGAAGAACAAAUGUGUAAGUAACUAUGCACGUCUUGACGGUACCUAAUCAGAAAGCCACGGCUAACUACGUG